Molecule: ribosomal RNA, 440 nt
Filed under: uncultured bacterium
Lineage: Bacteria
Description: partial 16S ribosomal RNA
Rfam family: Bacterial small subunit ribosomal RNA
Source: RNAcentral
ACUACGGGUGGCUGCAGUGGGGGAUAUUGCACAAUGGGGGGAACCCUGAUGCAGCGACGCCGCGUGGGUGAAGAAGCGCCUCGGCGCGUAAAGCCCUGUCAGCAGGGAAGAAAAUGACGGUACCUGAAGAAGAAGCCCCGGCUAACUACGGGCCAGCAGCCGCGGUAAUACGUAGGGGGCAAGCGUUAUCCGGAUUUACUGGGUGUAAAGGGGGCGCAGACGGGGAUGCAAGCCAGGAGUGAAAGCCCGGGGCCCAACCCCGGGACUGCUCUUGGAACUGGGUGGCUGGAGUGCAGGAGGGGCAGGCGGAAUUCCUGGGGUAGCGGUGAAAUGCGUAGAUAUCAGGAGGAACACCGGUGGCGAAGGCGGCCUGCUGGACUGCAACUGACGUUGAGGCCCGAAAGCGUGGGGAGCAAACAGGAUUAGAUACCCUAGUAGUC